RNAcentral lists this non-coding RNA (58 nucleotides) under Pongo pygmaeus (Bornean orangutan). The record is from RNAcentral. Lineage: Eukaryota; Metazoa; Chordata; Mammalia; Primates; Hominidae.
AGAAGUAAUUGUGGGCUUUGCUGUUACUUUUCGUGGCAAAACCUGCAAUUACUUUUGC